GUAGGUGGCAAGCGUUGUCCGGAAUUAUUGGGCGUAAAGCGCGCGCAGGCGGUUCUUUAAGUCUGAUGUGAAAGCCCACGGCUCAACCGUGGAGGGUCAUUGGAAACUGGAGAACUUGAGUACAGAAGAGGAAAGCGGAAUUCCACGUGUGGCGGUGAAAUGCGUAGAGAUGUGGAGGAACACCAGUGGCGAAGGCGGCUUUCUGGUCUGUAACUGACGCUGAGGCGCGAAAGCGUGGGGAGCAAACAGGGAUUAGAUACCCUGGUAGUCCACGCCGUAAACGAUGAGUGCUAAGUGUUAGGGGGUUUCCGCCCCCUUAGUGCUGCAGCUAACGCAUUAAGCACUCCGCCUGGGGAGUACGGCCGCAAGGCUG
RNAcentral lists this ribosomal RNA (373 nucleotides) under uncultured organism. Its description in RNAcentral is "partial 16S ribosomal RNA". It matches the Rfam family "Bacterial small subunit ribosomal RNA", at positions 527 to 896 of the family's 1533-position model. The record is from RNAcentral.